UAGAUACCCUGGUAGUCCACGCCCUAAACGAUGCACACUAGUUGUUGCUAUGCUCGACAUAGCAGUAAUGCAGUUAACACAGUAAGUGUGCCGCCUGGGGAGUACGGUCGCAAGAUUAAAACUCAAAGGAAUAGACGGGGACCCGCACAAGCGGUGGAGCAUGUGGUUUAAUUCGACGAUACGCGAAGAACCUUACCUGGCCUUGACAUAGAUAGAACUUUCCAGAGACGGAUUGGUGCUAGUUUACUAGAGCUAUCAUACAGGUGCUGCACGGCUGUCGUCAGCUCGUGUCGUGAGAUGUUGGGUUAAGUCCCGCAACGAGCGCAACCCUCGUGUUUAGUUACUAACAGUUCGGCUGAGGACUCUAAACAGACUGCCUGGGUAACCAGGAGGAAGGUGAGGACGACGUCAAGUCAUCAUGGCCCUUACGGCCAGGGCUACACACGUGCUACAAUGGGGUAUACAAAGAGCAGCAAUACGGUGACGUGGAGCAAAUCUCAUAAAAUAUCUCCCAGUUCGGAUUGAAGUCUGCAACUCGACUUCAUGAAGUUGGAAUCGCUAGUAAUCGUAGAUCAGCAAUGCUACGGUGAAUACGUUCCCAGGUCUUGUACUCACCGCCCGUCACACCAUGGGAAUUGAAUUCAUUCGAAGCGGGGAUGCUAAAAUAGCUACCUUCCACAGUGGAUUUAGUAACUAGGGUGAAGUCGUAACAAGGUA
Molecule: ribosomal RNA, 717 nt
Filed under: uncultured bacterium
Lineage: Bacteria
Description: bacterial SSU rRNA
Rfam family: Bacterial small subunit ribosomal RNA
Source: RNAcentral